GUUAAGUGGGUAGUUUUUUAUACUGUCAAAAAAAAAGUGGGUAGUUUUUUAGGUCGAGGGACGUACGUUGGAGGUGACACCCCAGUUUUAACACGUUAUUUUCUUUUCGUCCAAGAGUCUAGAUUUUUUGGGAGAGCCAACUUUUUUGUUUUUUCAUGUACUCUGGACGUGGCAGUUCAAUUUUUCUUCUAACUUCCUAACGUGGCAUGUUCUUUUACUUUUCUUUCUAAAACUACGGUUUUUUUUCACGUCAGGGGCUGUAAAUUUGGACGUGACUAUCCACUUUUUUCUUCUUUCCUAAUAUUGUAUGUUGAUUUACUUACCAAAUAAAUUUUCUUCCUUCAAAAUAUACACAUGUUUAUGUGUGCAUAUGGCACGUUUGUUUUCUUAGGCCUCUUUUACUUUUCUUCCUUAAACUACGUAUGUUUUUUUUUAACGUCAGGGGCUGUAAAUUUGGACGUGACAAUCCACUUUUUUCUUCUUUCCUAAUACUGUAUGUUGAUUUACUUACCAAAUAAAUUUUCUUCCUUCAAAAUAUACACUUGUUUAUGUGUGCAUAUGGCACGUUUGUUUUCUUAGGCCCACCACGUUAUGUAUGUUACACAAAUUGAACGGCCAUAUAAUCUUAAUUUUAAGAGACCCACCAGAUCAAAGGCUAGUAUUUUCUGAUUAAUGUGGAAUUUCUAUUCUAAUUCUCUUAAUCUUGGUUCACCGUAUAUUACUUUUUAUAUAUACUAGCAAAAGAGCCCGUGCGUUGCAACGGGUUUGAGAAACCGUCAAAAUUGAGUGGGCAAAAAAAUGCAUUAGCAAUUUUAAGAAGUAAAGACACCUACAGAAUGACCAAAAGCCCAAAGAAUACACAUGCUUAGUAAAAAUUCGCUACCGCGGCCCUUCUGAUUUUGGCAACUAACACUAACUAAUUAGACUGAGGAAAGAACAUA
RNAcentral lists this long non-coding RNA (941 nucleotides) under Triticum aestivum (bread wheat). RNAcentral describes it as "long non-coding RNA (TAES_LNC009185)". Lineage: Eukaryota; Viridiplantae; Streptophyta; Magnoliopsida; Poales; Poaceae. The record is from RNAcentral.